Molecule: ribosomal RNA, 427 nt
Filed under: uncultured bacterium
Lineage: Bacteria
Description: partial 16S ribosomal RNA
Rfam family: Bacterial small subunit ribosomal RNA
Source: RNAcentral
UGGGGAAUAUUGGACAAUGGGCGAAAGCCUGAUCCAGCCAUGCCGCGUGUGUGAAGAAGGUCUUCGGAUUGUAAAGCACUUUAAGUUGGGAGGAAGGGCAUUAACCUAAUACGUUAGUGUUUUGACGUUACCGACAGAAUAAGCACCGGCUAACUCUGUGCCAGCAGCCGCGGUACUACAGAGGGUGCAAGCGUUAAUCGGAAUUACUGGGCGUAAAGCGCGCGUAGGUGGUUUGUUAAGUUGGAUGUGAAAUCCCCGGGCUCAACCUGGGAACUGCAUUCAAAACUGACUGACUAGAGUAUGGUAGAGGGUGGUGGAAUUUCCUGUGUAGCGGUGAAAUGCGUAGAUAUAGGAAGGAACACCAGUGGCGAAGGCGACCACCUGGACUAAUACUGACACUGAGGUGCGAAAGCGUGGGGAGCAAACA